UGCAGUCGAGCGGACAGAAGGGAGCUUGCUCCCGGAUGUUAGCGGCGGACGGGUGAGUAACACGUGGGUAACCUGCCUGUAAGACUGGGAUAACUCCGGGAAACCGGAGCUAAUACCGGAUAGUUCCUUGAACCGCAUGGUUCAAGGAUGAAAGACGGUUUCGGCUGUCACUUACAGAUGGACCCGCGGCGCAUUAGCUAGUUGGUGGGGUAAUGGCUCACCAAGGCGACGAUGCGUAGCCGACCUGAGAGGGUGAUCGGCCACACUGGGACUGAGACACGGCCCAGACUCCUACGGGAGGCAGCAGUAGGGAAUCUUCCGCAAUGGACGAAAGUCUGACGGAGCAACGCCGCGUGAGUGAUGAAGGUUUUCGGAUCGUAAAGCUCUGUUGUUAGGGAAGAACAAGUGCGAGAGUAACUGCUCGCACCUUGACGGUACCUAACCAGAAAGCCACGGCUAACUACGUGCCAGCAGCCGCGGUAAUACGUAGGUGGCAAGCGUUGUCCGGAAUUAUUGGGCGUAAAGGGCUCGCAGGCGGUUUCUUAAGUCUGAUGUGAAAGCCCCCGGCUCAACCGGGGAGGGUCAUUGGAAACUGGGAAACUUGAGUGCAGAAGAGGAGAGUGGAAUUCCACGUGUAGCGGUGAAAUGCGUAAGAUGUGGAGGAACACCAGUGGCGAA
RNAcentral lists this ribosomal RNA (678 nucleotides) under Bacillus zhangzhouensis. RNAcentral's name for it is "bacterial SSU rRNA". It matches the Rfam family "Bacterial small subunit ribosomal RNA", at positions 56 to 719 of the family's 1533-position model. The record is from RNAcentral. Lineage: Bacteria; Bacillati; Bacillota; Bacilli; Caryophanales; Bacillaceae.